AGUGGGAGGAAGUGUCACAGCUCUUUUAUUUCUGCCACCCACAGCUUGGUGAGUAGGAGCAUUACAGCUCUUUUGCUCCCACAGUUCAGCAAAUUCUGAGUUCCUGUCCCAUGACCAAGAGGAAUGAGGAACAUGGACACCGGAGAAUGAGUAAGGCAGAGUAGAAUUUUAUUCAUCAGCGAGAGGGGACCUGAAAGCAGGUCGCCAUCUGUGAGGAUUAAAGUUAGGACCAAAUGCUGCUCAGAAAUUGUUUUAAUCUCAAAAGUAGUUGGCAAGUUUUCAGAGUUCAUUUUCAAGGCCUGGUGUAUGCAUUGGUUACAUGAAAACCGUGUGACAACCUUGGAAGUCUGAAAGAGCAGGAGAGAGGCUAAGCACACACAUAUUGUGAUUUUAAGAGUCUCAAGGGCUGACACAAGCUGAGAUGAGGAAAUAUGACCUCCUACACGUGUUUUCCAUGAGGAAUAUGUUUGCUGUGCAGUCACUGAGUUAAAAGCAACCUUCAUUCCCUUGUGCACCAAGGUAGUGCCUCUCCAGAGCUGUAGAUGUCUUCCCAGGAUAUUCCAUCAUUCUACACAGCAUUUAAUUCUUGGAGCUCACAGUCCAAGACUGUUAUCAGUCCAUUUUCACUCUAUUGAUCAAGACAUACUCAAGACUGGGUAAUUUAUAAAGAAA
Molecule: long non-coding RNA, 672 nt
Filed under: Homo sapiens (human)
Lineage: Eukaryota; Metazoa; Chordata; Mammalia; Primates; Hominidae
Description: HSALNT0322333
Source: RNAcentral